Non-coding RNA from Triticum aestivum (bread wheat), 135 nucleotides. The record is from Rfam. NCBI's taxonomy places the organism in Eukaryota, Viridiplantae, Streptophyta, Magnoliopsida, Poales, Poaceae.
GAGAUACUCCCUCCGUCCGAAAAUACUUGCCAUCAAAAUGAAUAAAAGGGGAUGUAUCUAGACGUAUUUUAGUUCUAGAUACAUUAUUUUCUAUCCAUUUUGAUGACAAGUAUUUUCGGACGAAGGGAGUAAGAA